CUUCGCUUGUUUUUCCUGCAGGUUUCUUUAUGGGGAGUCGCUAAUCAUUGAAGGAUGGACUGUAGAAGGUGGAGAGAAUUGUAGCACUCUGCUGUGAAGCACAGAAAUAAUGUUCUCAAACAGAAGAAGAAAGAAAGGAGAAUUGUUUGGAGAGGGUUUCUUUAUGGGGAGUCGCUAAUCAUUGAAGGAUGGACAAUAGAAGGUGGAGAGAAUUGUAGCACUCUGCUGUGAAGCACAGAAGUAAUGUUCUCAAACAAAAAGGAAGAAAGAAGGGAGGAUUGUUUGGAGGGGGCUUGGACAAGGAAGGUGCCUUCUACUGAAUCAGACCCCUGGUCCGCGGAAGCUAGGAUGACCUAUUAAGGUGGACAGCGCCUUUCCAGGGUCUCUGUCUGAGAUCUCUCAAGUGACCUACUGCUUGGUUCUCUGAACGGGCGAUGCCAGAAUUCAACAUGGGACCAUCAGCAUGCAAAACAGCAUCCCUCUUUAUGGCUUGUCUCAUUUCUUCUGCGUCCGCUAAAAAAGGGUUUUCAUGAGGAGAUUCUCACUCCUAUCUGACAAGAUACUCCAGGGAUGCUCCCGUACUGCCAACCGGGUGUUACAAUUAGAAGAAGAAGAAGAGUUUGGAUUUAUAUCCCCCCUUUCUCUCCCGCAGGAGACUCAAAGGGGCUUACAGUCUCCUUGCCCUUCCCCCCUCACAACAAACACCCUGUGAGGUGGGUGGGGCUGAGAGAGCUCCGAGAAGCUGUGACUAGCCCAAGGUCACCCAGCUGGCGUGUGUGGGAGUGUACAGGCUAAUGCACUGGCAGAUUCUCUGAUGUUGCUGCGUGACGCUGAGCUGAUGGGAUUGCCCUCUUCUCUUCCUUAGUCACUGGCUGACUAAUUUCUGGGCAGGGUGAAGAACCUGAACGGUCUCAAAAGAGGAAGUAUCUGCCUGCCGUGCAUCAACUUCUUUUAAUAAACAUACAAAGGGAGUCA
This is a long non-coding RNA of Sphaerodactylus townsendi, 975 nucleotides long. RefSeq lists it as uncharacterized. The record is from RefSeq and is a predicted model, not a curated record. The transcript has 4 exons. NCBI's taxonomy places the organism in Eukaryota, Metazoa, Chordata, Lepidosauria, Squamata, Sphaerodactylidae.